Molecule: ribosomal RNA, 381 nt
Filed under: uncultured bacterium
Lineage: Bacteria
Description: bacterial SSU rRNA
Rfam family: Bacterial small subunit ribosomal RNA
Source: RNAcentral
GACGAACGCUGGCGGCGUGCUUAACACAUGCAAGUGGAGCGACGAACCGGGCUUCGGCCCGGGGCAGAGCCGCGAACGGGUGAGUAACACGUGGGAACGUACCUUUCGGUUCGGGAUAACCCAGGGAAACUUGGGCUAAUACCGGAUACGUCCUUUGGGAGAAAGAUUCAUUGCCGAAAGAUCGGCCCGCGUCUGAUUAGCUAGUUGGUGGGGUAAUGGCCCACCAAGGCGACGAUCAGUAGCUGGUCUGAGAGGAUGAUCAGCCACACUGGGACUGAGACACGGCCCAGACUCCUACGGGAGGCAGCAGUGGGGAAUAUUGGACAAUGGGCGGCAAGCCUGAUCCAGCCAUGCCGCGUGAGUGAUGAAGGCCCUAGGGUU